ACGAGCGCAACCCCUAUUCUUAGUUACCAGCACGUAAAGGUGGGGACUCUGGGAGAACUGCCUACGCAAGUAGAGAGGAAGGUGGGGAUGACGUCAAAUCAGCACGGCCCUUACGUCCAGGGCUACACACGUGCUACAAUGGCCGGUACAGAGGGCAGCUACCUGGUGACAGGAUGCUAAUCCAUCAAAGCCGGUCUCAGUUCGGAUCGAAGUCUGCAACUCGACUUCGUGAAGCUGGAAUCGCUAGUAAUCGCGCAUCAGCCAUGGCGCGGUGAAUACUUUCCCGGGCCUUGNACACACCGCCCGU
Molecule: ribosomal RNA, 307 nt
Filed under: uncultured bacterium
Lineage: Bacteria
Description: bacterial SSU rRNA
Rfam family: Bacterial small subunit ribosomal RNA
Source: RNAcentral